UUCGUAGGCGGGAUAUUAAGUCAGUGGUGAAAUCCUACAGCUUAACUGUAGAACUUCCAUUGAUACUGAUAUUCUUGAAUUCACCUGAAGUAGGCGGAACAUGACAUGUAGCGGUGAAAUGCUUAGAUAUGUCAUAGAACACCGAUUGCGAAGGCAGCUUACUAAAGUGAUAUUGACGCUAAGGAACGAAAGCGUGGGGAGCGAACAGGAUUAGAUACCCUGGUAGUCC
RNAcentral lists this ribosomal RNA (229 nucleotides) under uncultured bacterium. RNAcentral describes it as "partial 16S ribosomal RNA". It matches the Rfam family "Bacterial small subunit ribosomal RNA", at positions 568 to 796 of the family's 1533-position model. The record is from RNAcentral.